UCUCCCAUUAUUCAAAGAUAUCAUGGAUCACCCACCAGAGAUGCUGAAAUCCAGACAUUUCAUAUGAGAAAUGGUGACUCAAUCAAACUUAAGCAGAGAAAUUUGGAAGAAAAGAUGGAAAGCAUCAGAGGCGCGAAACUGCUCCCUGAUAAGUAAUACAGAAAUUAAAGUUCUUGGUUUUGAACUUCCUAGAAGACUGAACAAUUCUCAACAGAAUCAGAACACAACAGGGUAAUUGUGGUGAGAGAUGAACAGUCUGUUAUAUUAUAGACGUAGUCCCUAUAACAAAAUUCGUUGGAGGCAUUGAAAAACUCCACAAAGCAGAAAUGGAAACAAUCCCAAGGUUGGAAAAUCUGGAAAUGUGAUUGUAAACUUUAGUCUUCAGUUGAUUU
This is a non-coding RNA of Cinara cedri, 392 nucleotides long. The record is from the annotation of a GenBank genome assembly. Lineage: Eukaryota; Metazoa; Arthropoda; Insecta; Hemiptera; Aphididae.